GACGAACCGAGCGAACGUUGUUCGGAUUCACUGGGCUUAAAGGGCGCGUAGGCGGGUGAUCAAGUCAGGGGUGAAAUCCCCCGGCCCAACCGGGGAACUGCCUCUGAUACUGAUCGUCUGGAGGGGGAUAGGGGCACGCGGAACUUCCGGUGGAGCGGUGAAAUGCGUAGAUAUCGGAAGGAACGCCGGUGGCGAAAGCGGCGUGCUGGAUCCUUUCUGACGCUGAGGCGCGAAAGCCAGGGGAGCAAACGGGAUUAGAAACCCCCGUAGUCC
Molecule: ribosomal RNA, 273 nt
Filed under: uncultured bacterium
Lineage: Bacteria
Description: partial 16S ribosomal RNA
Rfam family: Bacterial small subunit ribosomal RNA
Source: RNAcentral